GAUGAACGCUGGCGGCGUGCCUAAUACAUGCAAGUCGAGCGAACGGACGAGAAGCUUGCUUCUCUAAUGUUAGCGGCGGACGGGUGAGUAACACGUGGAUAACCUACCUAUAAGACUGGGAUAACUUCGGGAAACCGGAGCUAAUACCGGAUGAUAUUUUGAACCGCAUGGUUCAAAAGUGAAAGACGGUCUUGCUGUCACUUAUAGAUGGAUCCGCGCUGCAUUAGCUAGUUGGUAAGGUAACGGCUUACCAAGGCAACGAUGCAUAGCCGACCUGAGAGGGUGAUCGGCCACACUGGAACUGAGACACGGUCCAGACUCCUACGGGAGGCAGCAGUAGGGAAUCUUCCGCAAUGGGCGAAAGCCUGACGGAGCAACGCCGCGUGAGUGAUGAAGGUCUUCGGAUCGUAAAACUCUGUUAUUAGGGAAGAACAUAUGUGUAAGUAACUGUGCACAUCUUGACGGUACCUAAUCAGAAAGCCACGGCUAACUACGUG
RNAcentral lists this ribosomal RNA (497 nucleotides) under uncultured bacterium. Its description in RNAcentral is "partial 16S ribosomal RNA". It matches the Rfam family "Bacterial small subunit ribosomal RNA", at positions 28 to 507 of the family's 1533-position model. The record is from RNAcentral.